UGGGGAAUAUUGCACAAUGGGCGAAAGCCUGAUGCAGCAACGCCGCGUGAGUGAUGAAGGCCCUCGGGUUGUAAAGCUCUGUCUUUUGGGACGAUAAUGACGGUACCAAAGGAGGAAGCCACGGCUAACUACGUGCCAGCAGCCGCGGUAAUACGUAGGUGGCAAGCGUUGUCCGGAUUUACUGGGCGUAAAGGAUGCGUAGGCGGAUUUUUAAGUGAGAUGUGAAAUACCCGGGCUUAACUUGGGUGCUGCAUUUCAAACUGGGAAUCUAGAGUGCGGGAGAGGAGAAUGGAAUUCCUAGUGUAGCGGUGAAAUGCGUAGAGAUUAGGAAGAACACCAGUGGCGAAGGCGAUUCUCUGGACCGUAACUGACGCUGAGGCAUGAAAGCGUGGGUAGCAAAACAGGAUUAGAUACCCUGGUAGUCCACGCCGUAAACGAUGAGUACUAGGUGUAGGAGGUAUCGACCCCUUCUGUGCCGCAGUUAACACAAUCAAGUACUCCGCCUGGGAAGUACGAUCGCAAGAUUAAAACUCAAAGGAAUUGACGGGGUCAAUAGC
RNAcentral lists this ribosomal RNA (557 nucleotides) under uncultured bacterium. RNAcentral's name for it is "partial 16S ribosomal RNA". It matches the Rfam family "Bacterial small subunit ribosomal RNA", at positions 355 to 926 of the family's 1533-position model. The record is from RNAcentral.